RNAcentral lists this ribosomal RNA (774 nucleotides) under uncultured Neocallimastigales. RNAcentral's name for it is "partial large subunit ribosomal RNA". It matches the Rfam family "Eukaryotic large subunit ribosomal RNA", at positions 18 to 635 of the family's 3401-position model. Lineage: Eukaryota; Fungi; Neocallimastigomycota; Neocallimastigomycetes; Neocallimastigales. The record is from RNAcentral.
UCAGACGAUGCGUCAUGCAUAUCAAUAAGCGGAGGAAAAGAAACUAACAAGGAUUCCCUUAGUAACGGUGAGUGAAGCGGGAAGAGCUCAAAUUUGAAAUCUUCAAGGUUUUACCUUGACGAAUUGUAGUUUAAAGAAGUGUUUUCUGUUGAAGUUUUGGUAAAAGUUCUUUGGAAUAGGACAUCAUAGAGGGUGAGAAUCCCGUAUUUGACCAUUAUUUUCAGCUGUGUGAUACACUUUCAAAGAGUCGGAUUGUUUGGGAAUGCAGUCCAAAAUGGGUGGUAAAUUUCAUCUAAAGCUAAAUAUUGGCGAGAGACCGAUAGCGAACAAGUACCGUGAGGGAAAGAUGAAAAGAACUUUGAAAAGAGAGUUAAACAGUACGUGAAAUUGUCAAAAGGGAAGCGUUUGACACCAGUGUUGUUUUCUCGAAAAUCAAUUAAAAAGAGUUAGAUUUUGUUGUGUAUUGACCUUAACAGCUUGCAUUUCAAUUUUCUUGCUUUUUUUAAUGCACUUUUCGUUUAACAAGUCAACAUCAGUUUCUUUUGUUGUAAAAAGGUCAUUGGAAGGUGGCUUUCUUUUCGGAGAAAGUGUUUAUAGCCUUUGACUCCUGCAAUCGGAGAGACUGAGGUCUGCAGCGUAGAUCCUUCGGGGUUAGAUACAUUUGUGCUAAGUUAUAGCUUUUUAUAGACAACUUGUUGACUAUGAUUAGUCUUGUAGCUUACUCGCUUAUGCUAUUUUACCUACGCUUAGGAUGUUGAUCUGUAGUGCGUGCGC